CUUCUCUGGAGUUUUGUAGUGAGCCCAGGACACAGAGGUGAUCUGAUCUGAAUAUAAACUAGCUCAGAGUUCACUUCAGAGAGGACCCCAGCAAUUUCUGACCAACGCUUUCGGGAGCAAUGUGGUUGCCUGUGUGUCAAAGCUUCCUAGGACUGGUUUCACUUGCUUUAAUUGGAUUACAUAGAGGGAGAACUUUGCAUUCAAGAAGAUCUGCUUUAAUCUACAAAUUUCAGCAACAAAUUAGAAGGAACACCUGCAUGACCAUGGGUAACACUGAAAUUUAUAAAUGUUGACACCACAUCACAUUUAUGAAGACUCAGUGUGAAGGAAGACUCCUUUCCUGGGAGCACAAAGACUUCUGCUGCCAUUGCUACUGACGCUUGUCAUGCAGCUGACUCCUGAGGGUUCACAAUGUGGGAUUUAAAAACUGAAAAUGGGCAUUCCUGCCAUGCACAGAGCACUGAAUGUCUCAUACAGAUAAUUCCAUAGUGUAUACAUGUUCCUUGGGACACUUGACAACACUUUCUGCCUCUUCCACUGCUAUACAUCCAGACCUGAUUUCUCCUCCUGCAGUAGCAAAGUUUGUUUCCUAACAAUACUGUAAACUCUUCAAAUAACCAAACUGCUUGUAAAGCAUCAAGCCCAAGGCAAGAAAGUGAAAAAUAUCUAAGAAAUAGAGAGAAAAUAACAUAAGACCCAUAGUUUUUUUUCUUCUAUGGCAAAAUAGUGGUAGCAGGUAUCAUCUGCCCUAGUUUUGUGCCUUGCACAUUGUUGUGGGACCUUGUGGCAUGCCGAAACACUUCAAGAACAUGAAUUAAAAUUGUUGAGAGAUCUUGAAUAUAAUUGAUCUUGUAUGGGCCAGGAAGAUGUAUUACAUUACUUACCUGGGUCCUUCCUAAAUGUUCGGUGAAUUUACAAUCCUCUAACAAGCGUUAUGGCUUUUGUUAAUGGAAGGUUCCAGGAAACAAGUUCUCAAGCAGACUUUCUGAUGAAAUUGUUUUCUGCUACCAGUAUGGUGAAGGACAAAACUCAAAACUAAUCUCCAAACCCUUGAAAUGAGGUGAUGAGUUUCUUAGCAACCUGCUCUGUGUUUGAGAUCAAAGGUCACCGUGGUCUAGAACCUGAGCAGGAAACAAAAUAAAAAGAUGCACUUAAUGACUUACCAGCUGAAAAAUGACUUGUGUUCCAGUUAGAAUGAGACACCAUCCAUGUUUUCUAUCUGCAAGUGGGCAUUAGGAGAAAUGCUGACUCCAGAGAUUGCUUUGUGUGCAUUUUACAAGUGAUGAAAACUAUUUUAAUCUAUUUGCAAGAAUUACUUAAAAAUGAUUGUGAAAGCAGUAUUGCUUCUUGUCUUGCUCUAGUCUUCCUUUUUAUUUCUCUAACUCUCCCUGCUAGUCUCCAUGCUAGUGACAGCCAUUCUUGUUUUCUGU
Molecule: long non-coding RNA, 1430 nt
Organism: Lagopus muta (rock ptarmigan)
Lineage: Eukaryota; Metazoa; Chordata; Aves; Galliformes; Phasianidae
Exons: 6
Source: RefSeq, a predicted model, not a curated record